AUGUAUGGAAAGCGCCGGUUGAGAAAUAUCUUGCUUGAUCAGAUGAAGAACCUCCAGCUCAGGAAGGUGGCGCGUCUGGAAUACCCUGAGAUUCCGUUCCUUCCAUAUAUUCCAGCAGGUUUAUAUGGCAGUGGUGAUAAGCUCUGGAUCCAAAGUGCAUGUCAGGUCGUUCCACCAAGCUUCAGAGGAGGUCGCGUUGUGGGUGAGAGCAGGGCAGUUAGUCCAGUUGGCAACCAACAUCCAAAUGGAUUGCGAGAAGGUGCAUCUCGGGAUCAUAUGGAAAAAGGAGUCCCAUCCUCUUGA
RNAcentral lists this ribosomal RNA (303 nucleotides) under Triticum aestivum (bread wheat). RNAcentral's name for it is "partial small subunit ribosomal RNA". Lineage: Eukaryota; Viridiplantae; Streptophyta; Magnoliopsida; Poales; Poaceae. The record is from RNAcentral.